Molecule: long non-coding RNA, 2107 nt
Organism: Dreissena polymorpha
Lineage: Eukaryota; Metazoa; Mollusca; Bivalvia; Myida; Dreissenidae
Exons: 3
Source: RefSeq, a predicted model, not a curated record
CUCGCCAUUAGCGACAUCAUCCACGCUGGGCUCGUGCAUCCCGUGCAAAUAAGAAAAAGUUUGCGCUUAGACAAAAACUUCUAUGGAGAUGAUGCACUAUGUAAGAUCAUCAUGGUGGUUCCAUUACUGAUUGUUUUGUCUGCGAUUUACACCAUUGUAACCAUGGCAAUCGACAGAUAUAGAGCAGUGGUAAAGAGAAUAGUCAUCAGCCGCAGGACUGCCAUUUACGCUGUAUUGUGUGUAUGGGUAUUGUCAUUCAUCGUAUCAUCGCCGCAGAUUUACGAAUACAGCCUUUACCUUGACCACGAGGCGAAUAAUGAAACCUAUAUAUCGUGUGGAUCAGAAGGAAUAGUGGAACAUUUUGAAACCAUUUACGCCGCUAUUGUUGUAUGUAUUGCGUACAUCAUUCCAUUUGGACUUGUCAUUGGUUGCUACGCAGGACUAGGCGUUUACGUUCAUAGACAUGCGUCAAAAAUCAGAGCCCAAAUGAAUACAUUUUCAACAACAGCAUCGGGUUCAAAUGCUCCGUCUCAGAGGAACCAAACGCUGUCACCAAGGAUGAUAAAAAUGAUUAAAAUGCUUAUUGCCUUGACAAUUACAUUCCUAAUUAUGUGGACACCAUAUUUCGUCAUAUUCGCAAUAAACGAAAUAACUGGACUGGAUGAUACGGCGUACUACGUUGAAUGGCCACAUGUCGCCAGCAGAACUAUGAAUUUGUUAAGCUCCGUCACGAACCCGAUCUUGUAUCUCGCCUUUAGCGAGAUUUUUCAAGAUAUUGUAAGGAACUGGUUUAGAUGUUUCAAGAAAGUAGAAGCACAGGUCACGUUCGGACAAACUAGUCAGUCCCGGAGCUUUAAUACAAAUAAGGUGGCGCCAGCUGAUUCGACGAUAUCGAAUGUAUUAAAUGUACAUUCAUUGGAAAAUAUAGAAUAGUUAUGACAAAACGCUUGUUCACAAAGCUUAUUUGUUACAAAUUAAUUUAAUAUGGUAUAAGGCAGUUCGAUACUAUUGAGAUAACGAUGGCGCAGUGGGCUUAAGGUUAAAAAGGUGUGUGCAGGAUAAUUAUAUGUCAUAUCUUCUACCUUUGACCAUUACUUGGUAUUGUAAUGUGUAUGCAUGAGAGCAAAUAACUAGAUAACAAAACAUGUGUGUAUCAUUAUUUUCAUAAUUACCGAUAAAGUUUUGUAUGAAUCGACAUUUUGUCAGCGAUUUUGAGACGUAUGGGAUGUAUACGUUGUGUAAAGCUAUUGAUAUUGUUUUUAGUAUAAGUUGUGUAAAGUUAUUGAUAUUGUUUUAAGUGCAUUUAAUAGAAUAACAUUAAAUUGAUGUUUAAAAUUUUCGAUGUAGCGUAUUCAUGUUUGAAUAAGCAAAUGAUACUUCAUUCGCAGUUAUAUGGCAGUUCUAUGACAAAAUGAACAUUGCAAGAAAUUGUAUUUCAACAUUUCUUGUUUUCGGAACGUGCCUCUUUGUUACUUUUAUAACCAUAUUAUGUGAACACAUUAUCAAGUGUGUUUAAUUUGGUACGUUAAAAGUUCUAACGUGAGUUUCUUAUCGAUAAAUGAAAUUAAUUUAACGUAAUAACAGCAUGACAAUAAUAUGUUUAGCAUAUUAGUGUUUUAAUAUAGUUUUAAGUAGAACGAAUGUGCUUUUAAUUUCUCGAUACAAAAAAGAAGCAUUGUUUAUCAAAUAAAGUAGUUAUACAUGAUAAUUGUCAGAAAGUGUUUGAAUAAGUUAUGUAACUACAAUAAACUGUUAGGAGGAUCAUGUUGCGAUAUUACAUCACAACACAAGACACUAUGGAUAUAUAGUUCUUUAUGUUGACAUGCUCCUAAUGUAUAUUUUAGGCGUUAUAAUAAUAGAAGAGGUUGUGGAAGGGUAUACCAGGACAAAAUUGGAACAGAUUUGAAACUUAUAUUUUCUGAAAGGUUAUAGCUUGAAGAUGUUGAAAUCACAAAGUUCCCGAAAAUUCCCAUCCGGGAAACCUCAAAAUCGAAGAUGGCGUUCAAGAUGGCGUCUAUUUUGAUACUUUGAGCACUUAUUAUGUUUGUCUGUUAAAGUCUAAUUCUGUUUGUGUCUAAAUCUUUUGAAAUAAGGAUAUAAUAGCAUA